GAUGAACGCUGGCGGCGUGCCUAAUACAUGCAAGUCGAGUGAACGGACGAGAAGCUUGCUUCUCUGAUGUUAGCGGCGGACGGGUGAGUAACACGUGGAUAACCUACCUAUAAGACUGGGAUAACUUCGGGAAACCGGAGCUAAUACCGGAUAAUAUUUUGAACCGCAUGGUUCAAAAGUGAAAGACGGUCUUGCUGUCACUUAUAGAUGGAUCCGCGCUGCAUUAGCUAGUUGGUAAGGUAACGGCUUACCAAGGCAACGAUGCAUAGCCGACCUGAGAGGGUGGUCGGCACAACGGGAACUGGGACCGGCUCCAGCCUCCUGCGGGGGGCGCAAGAGGGAAAUCUCCCGAAAGGGCCAAAGCCCGGAAGGAGCAACGCCGGGGGAGGAAUAAAGUUCUUGGGAUCGAAAAACUUUUUUAUUGGAAAAAAAAAUAGUUGAAGGAAACUGUGCACUUCUGGACGGUACCUAAUAAAAAACCCACGACAAACUACGUC
This 497-nucleotide ribosomal RNA is filed under the name uncultured bacterium. RNAcentral's name for it is "partial 16S ribosomal RNA". It matches the Rfam family "Bacterial small subunit ribosomal RNA", at positions 28 to 507 of the family's 1533-position model. The record is from RNAcentral.